RNAcentral lists this ribosomal RNA (290 nucleotides) under uncultured bacterium. RNAcentral describes it as "partial 16S ribosomal RNA". It matches the Rfam family "Bacterial small subunit ribosomal RNA", at positions 773 to 1060 of the family's 1533-position model. The record is from RNAcentral.
GUGGAUUAGAUACCCUGGUAGUCCACGCCGUAAACGAUGGGUGCUAGACGUUGGCGAGCUUGCUCGUCAGUGUCGCAGCUAACGCGUUAAGCACCCCGCCUGGGGAGUACGGCCGCAAGGUUGAAACUCAAAGGAAUUGACGGGGGCCCGCACAAGCGGUGGAGCAUGUGGUUCAAUUCGACGCAACGCGCAGAACCUUACCAGCCCUUGACAUGUGACUCGCCGGCUCCAGAGACGGAGCCUUCGGUUCGGCCGGAGUCAACACAGGUGCUGCACGGCCGUCGCCAGCU